UGGGGAAUUUUGGACAAUGGGCGCAAGCCUGAUCCAGCCAUGCCGCGUGCGGGAAGAAGGCCUUCGGGUUGUAAACCGCUUUUGUCAGGGAAGAAAUCUUCUGAGUUAAUACCUCGGGAGGAUGACGGUACCUGAAGAAUAAGCACCGGCUAACUACGUGCCAGCAGCCGCGGUAAUACGUAGGGUGCAAGCGUUAAUCGGAAUUACUGGGCGUAAAGCGUGCGCAGGCGGUUUUGUAAGACAGAGGUGAAAUCCCCGGGCUCAACCUGGGAACUGCCUUUGUGACUGCAAGGCUUGAGUGCGGCAGAGGGGGAUGGAAUUCCGCGUGUAGCAGUGAAAUGCGUAGAUAUGCGGAGGAACACCGAUGGCGAAGGCAAUCCCCUGGGCCUGCACUGACGCUCAUGCACGAAAGCGUGGGGAGCAAACAGGAUUAGAUAGCCCUGGUAGUCCACGCCCUAAACGAUGUCAACUGGUUGUUGGGAAGGUUCCUUCUCAGUAACGUAGCUAACGCGUGAA
Molecule: ribosomal RNA, 516 nt
Filed under: uncultured bacterium
Lineage: Bacteria
Description: partial 16S ribosomal RNA
Rfam family: Bacterial small subunit ribosomal RNA
Source: RNAcentral